AGUAUUACGUGGGGGAUGAUCCAGUUACUUUGAUGUAGUAAAGUGCAAGAGUUAUUUCUUUAAUGCUU
This 68-nucleotide transfer RNA is filed under the name Geukensia demissa (ribbed mussel). RNAcentral's name for it is "tRNA-Ile". The record is from RNAcentral. Lineage: Eukaryota; Metazoa; Mollusca; Bivalvia; Mytilida; Mytilidae.